CCAGACUGCACACUUCUGUAAAGAAGUAUGUCUCGUUCUGCUUGUGGCGAUACCUCGGUGCCCAUGCUACUUAUGUGCAGGUCAGAGGUUAAAGUGUCUAUGACCAGAAGCUGGAGGGACUUUUCCGCAGUGGAUGCCGAUAGAAUACACGGAAGCAACUUCACAUACGAAAAUGCAUGCUUCAACACCUCGUAGUUUCCGUCAACUCGAAUUUUAAACAUCGCGAUUCACUCCGACGCUGGCACACCUAGCGUCAAAUCAAGAAAACAUACGUAUAUAUAGAACCUUCAUCUGAUCAUCCCAGUGGGAUGACGUCAAACGGCCAUGCAAUCAACGAGCAGAAUGCCGUCACUUCAUCAAACACUACAACAACUUUCUGCAAGAACCAACGUUUCUGCGCCAAUAUACUGUUGUCACAAUGUCUGGAAAUAAAAAGUAUGUACAUAGUUCGA
Molecule: long non-coding RNA, 452 nt
Organism: Ornithodoros turicata
Lineage: Eukaryota; Metazoa; Arthropoda; Arachnida; Ixodida; Argasidae
Exons: 2
Source: RefSeq, a predicted model, not a curated record